RNAcentral lists this ribosomal RNA (257 nucleotides) under uncultured Pseudomonas sp. Its description in RNAcentral is "partial 16S ribosomal RNA". It matches the Rfam family "Bacterial small subunit ribosomal RNA", at positions 96 to 354 of the family's 1533-position model. The record is from RNAcentral. Lineage: Bacteria; Pseudomonadati; Pseudomonadota; Gammaproteobacteria; Pseudomonadales; Pseudomonadaceae.
CGGCGGACGGGUGAGUAAUGCCUAGGAAUCUGCCUGGUAGUGGGGGACAACGUUUCGAAGGGAACGCUAAUACCGCAUACGUCCUACGGGAGAAAGCAGGGGACCUUCGGGCCUUGCGCUAUCAGAUGAGCCUAGGUCGGAUUAGCUAGUUGGUGAGGUAAUGGCUCACCAAGGCGACGAUCCGUAACUGGUCUGAGAGGAUGAUCAGUCACACUGGAACUGAGACACGGUCCAGACUCCUACGGGAGGCAGCAGAU